Molecule: microRNA, 23 nt
Filed under: Eisenia fetida (common brandling worm)
Lineage: Eukaryota; Metazoa; Annelida; Clitellata; Crassiclitellata; Lumbricidae
Description: Efe-Mir-2-o21_5p* (star (passenger))
Source: RNAcentral
CAGUCAAAGUGGCUGUGAUAUGU